This 253-nucleotide ribosomal RNA is filed under the name uncultured bacterium. Its description in RNAcentral is "partial 16S ribosomal RNA". It matches the Rfam family "Archaeal small subunit ribosomal RNA", at positions 474 to 727 of the family's 1478-position model. The record is from RNAcentral.
UACCAGCACCCCGAGUGGUCGGGACGAUUAUUGGGCCUAAAGCAUCCGUAGCCGGUCAUGCAAGUCUUCCGUUAAAUCCACCUGCUCAACAGAUGGGCUGCGGAGGAUACUAUAGAGCUAGGAGGCAGGAGAGGCAAGCGGUACUCAGUGGGUAGGGGUAAAAUCCGUUGAUCCAUUGAAGACCACCAGUGGCGAAGGCGGCUUGCCAGAAUGCGCUCGACGGUGAGGGAUGAAAGCUGGGGGAGCAAACCGG